Long non-coding RNA from Cavia porcellus (domestic guinea pig), 579 nucleotides. Lineage: Eukaryota; Metazoa; Chordata; Mammalia; Rodentia; Caviidae. The record is from Ensembl.
GGAAAUUUCUGCCUUCCCCACCCUGUGGAGCUCCUCUUAUUUAAUUCCACGAUGUCACACAGCUUUCUUUACUGUGCUGAUAACUCUCAAGAAAAAUGUCAAUUGGAAAAGCAACAAGGAAGCAAUGCAGAACUCACCCCCAUCUGCCAGUGGAGGACCUAUCAGCCUGGGAGAAGCAAGAAAUCCAUGCAUACUCCCCGCUCCAGCUGUGUGCCAGGAGAGAGCCUGCUGGAUGGAGAGAAGCAGCGAGGAAGCCAUGCAGCCCCCUCGCCCCAUGUGCUGGCAGGGGCCCUCCUGGCUGAGGAGCUGUGCAGCUCCCCAUGUGCCGGCAGAGCCUUACUGGCUAAAGAGAACCAGCAAGGAAGUCAUGCACACCACUGUGUGCUAGUGGCAGACCUGAAGGCCAGGAUGAACCAGCGAGGAAGCUGCCUCCACCCUGAUUCCUCCAUAAGAAACUGGAUAUGACCCGGGCUGAGAUGAUGCCAACUGAAGUAGGGAAGCAACGUGACGUUUGUGUUGUCUGACUGACUCGGCAAGCAUGGGACUGGUAGUCUGAGCAACUAUCUAGAGGAUAACAAU